ACGUAGGGGGCAAGCGUUAUCCGGAUUUACUGGGUGUAAAGGGAGCGUAGACGGAUGGACAAGUCUGAUGUGAAAGGCUGGGGCUCAACCCCGGGGCUGCAUUGGAAACUGCCCGUCUUGAGUGCCGGAGAGGUAAGCGGAAUUCCUAGUGUAGCGGUGAAAUGCGUAGAUAUUAGGAGGAACACCAGUGGCGAAGGCGGCUUACUGGACGGUAACUGACGUUGAGGCUCGAAAGCGUGGGGAGCAAACAG
Molecule: ribosomal RNA, 251 nt
Filed under: uncultured bacterium
Lineage: Bacteria
Description: partial 16S ribosomal RNA
Rfam family: Bacterial small subunit ribosomal RNA
Source: RNAcentral